AUAUAUAUAUAUAUAUAUAUAUAAUUUUAUAUAUAAAUAUAUAUAUAUAUAUAUAUAUAUAUAUNGUAUAUUAAUUAUUAUAUGUUUAAUAUAUAGCCAAAUUUUUGAUCCCGAAUUUUUAAUUGGUGAACGUAUAAUAUCGUAUCCGAAUAAUUACCGAAUCCGUUUUUUAGCCGUAUUUUUUAACAAAUUUAAAAAUUAAAAAACGAAUUUUAUCCGAAUUAUAUCCGUAUCGAAUUUUUGCCGAACCCGAAUUAACUAACUAUGUAUAGACCCAACAUACAUAAAAGGCUAGGUACAGCACGAAACAACAGAAUUCGUCGAAACUGUAACGGCCACAACCAGACC
Molecule: long non-coding RNA, 348 nt
Filed under: Ananas comosus (pineapple)
Lineage: Eukaryota; Viridiplantae; Streptophyta; Magnoliopsida; Poales; Bromeliaceae
Description: long non-coding RNA (ACOM_LNC035536)
Source: RNAcentral